Molecule: ribosomal RNA, 403 nt
Filed under: bacterium TSA-5.3
Lineage: Bacteria
Description: bacterial SSU rRNA
Rfam family: Bacterial small subunit ribosomal RNA
Source: RNAcentral
CAGGCNUAACACAUGCAAGUCGAGCGCCCCGCAAGGGGAGCGGCAGACGGGAGAGUAACACGUGGGAACGUACCCUUCAGUUCGGAACAACCCAGGGAAACUUGGGCUAAUACCGAAUACGUCCGUAAGGAGAAAGAUUUAUCGCUGAAGGAUCGGCCCGCGUCUGAUUAGCUAGUUGGUGAGGUAAUGGCUCACCAAGGCGACGAUCAGUAGCUGGUCUGAGAGGAUGAUCAGCCUCACUGGGACUGAGACACGGCCCAGACUCCUACGGGAGGCAGCAGUGGGGAAUAUUGGACAAUGGGCGCAAGCCUGAUCCAGCCAUGCCGCGUGGAUGAUGAAGGCCCUAGGGUUGUAAAGUCCUCUCGACGGGGAAGAUAAUGACGGUACCCGUAGAAGAAGCCCG